This is a long non-coding RNA of Cyprinus carpio (common carp), 1371 nucleotides long. The record is from Ensembl. NCBI's taxonomy places the organism in Eukaryota, Metazoa, Chordata, Actinopteri, Cypriniformes, Cyprinidae.
AUCAGAUAUAUAUAAACACGAAUAGUUAAGAAUCUUUAAUGCGCUUACCUCAGCCAUUUAAAUCAGCCACGCCCCUUUAAAUAGUUCACAGUAUUUGUGUUUAAAUCAUGCCAGCAGAGCCAAUGAACAACACUUUGCCAUUUUUAUUAUGCAGCCGCGUUCUUUGUUAGUCAUGUAUCAGUUUUACUAAUUUACGGUUGUCAUAUUUACACACCUGACACAUUCUUCUUGAUCUUUAAGGACUGGAGUAUGUUUAUUUGUUAUGUUUAUUCAUACAGAAAUGCAGCCUUGCUCCUCUGAGACUCAAGGAAAGAAAUACACCCAGACAUUCUCAGAGGAAUGGAGAUCUGAACAUGAUUUUAAGGACACUGAGAUGCAUAUGAAACUAGAAGUUUAUACACAACAGGAGGAGAAUGAAGAGCAAAUGCACGUGUGCAGUGAAUCAGCAUCUUUAUCACCAUGUAUGUACAAUUAUCAUGAUCAGAUGCCCAGCAAAGACAAUGAAACCCAAAUGAUGGACAAUAUACAGCAGCACAUCACAAAACACGGCUUGAAUGAUUCAGGGGCCAGUGAUGCUUCCAGUGAUGCCAACAAAAUCACAUUCAGCCACAUUGGCUCCCCCAGACAUGAGACACAAACAUUUAAUCUGCCCCUCAGAAAUCAAGAGAUGUUGACCCAGAUAAGAGACAGAUUGGCAGAUGAAGAGCAAAAGAAGGCUGCAGCUCAAGCUAGAUCCCUAAAGCACAAGCAGAAAGUAUAUGGGAAUCCUGAGCUUCAUGAGGCAUACAGAAAAAAGGAGAGAGAGAGAUAUCAAAGACGAAAAUCUCAGGGGAAAGUGAAAUUCGCUAAAGAUCUGAACCCAACAGAACUGAGAAGGCAACAGAAAAAGUGGAGGGAGAAUUCAGCCGCUUACAGGAGAAAGAAAGCAUUUCAGGAGGUUUUAGUCAAUAUUAAAGAAGAAAUUAAUCAAGUCAUCCCAGAGUCAGAGCCGUCCACCUCCUCUGAUCAACAUUAUGGUGUUUUUUAAUGUUCACUGAGAGAUUUGGGCAAAAUAUUCCUGUUUCUCAACUGAUAGAUUAUAUGAGUAUGUCAUUAGCCAGAGCCGAGGUCAUUGGUAGGAUUCCCAGAAAAUGCUCAUCUCAAUGUAUUUAAUGCACUUUACAACAUCUACCAAAUGCAUUAAUGUAAAUAUUCUUUUAAAAAAGUAAACUGCAUGCAUUCUGACAGAAAUACUAGCACAUGCACAUUGAUUCCAUGUCAUCAGUGUAAUAAUUGAAUUAAAAUAUACUUUAGAUUACACAAAUGACCAAGUAUUUAUGAUUCUUUAUGCUCUUGAUGAAUUUUGAAAUAAAAAAAAAAGUGAAUGAAGCA